This 423-nucleotide long non-coding RNA is filed under the name Brassica rapa (field mustard). RNAcentral's name for it is "long non-coding RNA (BRAP_LNC001543)". The record is from RNAcentral. Lineage: Eukaryota; Viridiplantae; Streptophyta; Magnoliopsida; Brassicales; Brassicaceae.
AGUGCAAGGAGCGCUAAAGGUAAAAAAACAUGUGCUUCUUGAGUUUUGGCUUAGUUGUGAACAUUGUUGAUCUUCAUGUUUUAUGUUUUGAUUGUUUACAUGAUUGAAGUUUUUUUUACGGGCUGGGCGUAUAAAUUGAGAAACAGAAUCUUCUCUUUGGAAACUUUGUAAAUUUGUGUUUCUCCAAUCCGACACUUCACUCCGGUACAACAGAUGCGUUCCUCCGAACGUCAGUAGUCAGGUAUUAAUGGUAAUCAUGUCUCAUAUCUAAAAGAACACCAUAAUUUAAAUACACGUUCACAGCUAACCUACUCUCUUUCCAGGUUCCGUUGAACUGGCUGUUGACGACGACAACGAAGUGCCACGUUUUGUGGUCUUUGACAGGGAGAUCAGCAAGAAAGAUGCAAACAUUCUGGCUCUUGC